Long non-coding RNA from Gadus macrocephalus (Pacific cod), 766 nucleotides. RefSeq lists it as uncharacterized. NCBI's taxonomy places the organism in Eukaryota, Metazoa, Chordata, Actinopteri, Gadiformes, Gadidae. The record is from RefSeq and is a predicted model, not a curated record. The transcript is spliced from 3 exons.
ACACAUAUUGGAUGGAGGCAUUUUUUAAUACUGAAGGAAACCAGUAUUAUCAGGAAUCAGUACCGGGUCUCAUGGGAUUUUCACUCUUCCCGUAUCCAAUGCACAUGUCGAGAGACAUAAAGGUUGAACGUCUGUUUUUGUUUUGAGCACUAUUCUCAGAGUUGACCCUGCCAGCUGACCAUUUCGACCGAAAUGUGAAACAAAUUUGCAAACAGAAACAGCAUGUUGCAGCCAUGGAAGCUUCAAAGAAGGAAACAGCUUGGAGUCCAGAAGGAUUUCAAGACACCGUGUUGGCAAAUUCUCUGGAACAGGACGCAAACAGACCAACUUCUGGUGCAUUUUGAGAGUAUCCUGGUGGUGUAGAUCCCGGCCUGGUACAACAGCUUCUCCACCCCCUCAGCCUCUUGCGACCGGUUCUGUCACACAGCUGUCAUCAGACACUAGACAAGUCACCUUAUGUCGGUUGGUCCAUAUGUCCCUUCAGUUCUUGUACGUAAUUCUGUCACUUUGCAUAAGAAAUAUUAAUAUGCAUUUUUGUUCUCAUAUGUGAUUACUUAUUUGUUUUUUAUCUGUGUCUGUGUUGUUAUCCUCUGUCUGCACAUGCUAUCUGUAUAUUGUAUUUACACUGUUGUUACAUGUUGCACAGUUGAGGAUUUCAUGUCCAGCAUGAAUCCAUAUCUGGCAAGUAUUAUUUUUAGUUUGUUAAAGCUAUUUAUACCUAUAGUAUUAUAUUUAUUUAAUCAUUAUUCUGGAAGAAAUAAUUAUG